Molecule: ribosomal RNA, 477 nt
Filed under: uncultured bacterium
Lineage: Bacteria
Description: bacterial SSU rRNA
Rfam family: Bacterial small subunit ribosomal RNA
Source: RNAcentral
GAUCAUGGCUCAGGAUUAACGCUGGCGGCGUGCCUAAUACAUGCAAGUCGAAUGGUAGCAAUACCAUGGCGAACGGGUGAGUAACACGUAGGUAACCUGUCUUUAAGCCGAGGAUAACCAUUGGAAACGAUGGAUAAUACUGGAUAGGACAUUUGAAGGCAUCUUUAGAUGUUUAAAGAUUUAUCACUUAGAGAGGGGCCUGCGGCGCAUUAGCUAGUUGGUGAGGUGAAGGCUUACCAAGGCGAUGAUGCGUAGCCGGACUGAGAGGUUGAACGGCCACAAUGGAACUGAGAACGGUCCAUACUCCUACGGGAGGCAGCAGUAGGGAAUUUUCGGCAAUGGGCGGAAGCCUGAACCCGAGCAACGCCGCGUGAACGAAGAAGUAUUUCGGUAUGUAAAGUUCUUUUAUUAGGGACGAAAAGACAGAUUGACGGUACCUAAUGAAUAAGCUCCGGCUAACUACGUGCCAGCCGCAGC